UUCGACGAGUUCAACAGACUCCCAAACCCCCUGUGAACAUAUACCAUUGCCGUUGCUUCGGCGGGAUCACGCCCUGGAGUCUGACUUCGGGCGCCCGCCGGGGGCCCAAAACUCUUGUACUGUUUUCUUUUUCGGCAUGUCUGAGUGGAAUCACACACAAUGAAUCA
RNAcentral lists this unclassified non-coding RNA (167 nucleotides) under uncultured Paecilomyces. Its description in RNAcentral is "sequence contains ITS1". The record is from RNAcentral. Lineage: Eukaryota; Fungi; Ascomycota; Eurotiomycetes; Eurotiales; Thermoascaceae.